GACGAACGCUGGCGGCGUGCCUAAUACAUGCAAGUCGAACGCAGUGGGGAUGGGUGAGUAACACGUGGGUAACCUCCCAUCAGAGGGGAUAACACUUGGAAAUAGGUGCUAAACCGAUAGUGAUGGAUGGUCUUGCGGUGGAUUAGAUAGUUGGUGAGGUAACGGCUCACCAAGGCCAAGAUGCCUAACCGGCCAGAGAGGGUGAUCGGCCACAGUGGGACUGAGACACGGCCCGGACUCUUACGGUAGGCAGCAGUAGUGAAUCUUCGGCAAUGGACGAAAGUCUGACCGAGCAACGCCGCGUGAGGGAAGGAGGUUUUCGGAUCGUAGAACUCUGUUGUUAGAGAAGCGGUAUCUAACCAGAAAGCCACGGCUAACUACGUGCCAGCAGCCGCGGUAAUAC
This 403-nucleotide ribosomal RNA is filed under the name uncultured bacterium. RNAcentral describes it as "partial 16S ribosomal RNA". It matches the Rfam family "Bacterial small subunit ribosomal RNA", at positions 28 to 526 of the family's 1533-position model. The record is from RNAcentral.